AUGCCUUGGUGCAAUCUUUGGAACUCUAUUCAUGAUUUUCUCAUUCCUCAACCAUCAGGCUUUAUUUGUCCCUCCUUGGUUAGGGAUCUUUGGCAGCCUGGGCAAAGGCAAUGGAACCGUCAGCUCAUUUUCUCUCUUUUUCAGCAACCUUUGGCUACUCAGAUUAUCAACAUUGAUAUUCUCGAUGAUGAUAAUGCUGAUAUUCUUUGUUGGCCUUUGGCUCCCAAUGGUAUUUGCUCUUCCAAAGCUGCUUAUAAACUUUGCUUACAAGACAUUCAUACUAAUCCUAGAACUGCUCCUCUGGAUGUUCCUUUGGAUUUGAAAGCUUUUCUUAAAACUAUUUGGAAGCAAAAAGAUUUAUUACCCAAGGUUAAAACUUUUGCUUGGAGGAUGCUUAGCAAAGCUUUGCCCACAGGAAUGAGAGCAGGCCAUUUUUCUAUUCACAUUUGGCAGAAUUGUUGUAGAUGUGCUCAGCAAGAAGAUGAGUUUCACCUUUUCUUUCUUUGUGACUUUGCUAGAGCGGCCUGGUUCUCUGCUCCUUGGUUUCUUAGAUCUGACAUCCUUGUGCAAGGUCACUCUUCAAUGCAUUCCCGUCUGAUUCACUUUGCUUCUAUGGGCCAUCCUUAUGCAUCUUUGCAAAAUAUUUUCAAUUUUAUGUGGUGCAUUUGGAAGGCUAGAAAUGAUUUCCUCUUUGAGAGGAAAUUUUCUUUUCCCUACCAAAUUAAAAUUGCUGCUACUAGUUUGAAUAAUAUUCUCCAAGAGGAGAUUCUGCCUUCUACUAAUAUUCAGUCUUUGCAGGCUUCUCAACCUAAUAAUUCUCCUCUUCCUAAGCAAGGCAAUACUCUCAAAUCAGACCUUCUCAUUAAUGGUGCUAAAGUGUUUUCUGAUGCUGCUUUCAGAACUUCUAGAGUUCCAGGAUUUCAGCAAGGUCAAUUGCGCACAGCUCAAUUGGCGGCUUGCCUUAACAUUCAAACUCCUACUUUUUUAACUGAUUCUCUUUCUCUUGCCACUGUUGCUGCUGCCAGGAAUAUUACUCACUCUUCCACUCCUUGGAAUAUUAGAAAAGAAGUGGCUUCUUUUGUAAACUCUACUUCUAAUCUUAAUCCCCAAGUUUUUCAUAUUUCUAGGAAUUUGAAUGGGGUGGCUCACAAUUUAGCUCAUCAAGUUUUUCAAAUGGCUGGAGGACCUACACUCAAUUGCUCUUCUCACUCUCAUGUCAUUGAAUCAUGUCCUUUAGCUGCCUCUCUUGUUGAUUUUAAUUUUGUAGGAAUUCAGCUUCAUAAGGUGUAUUGCUUUUAG
This 1299-nucleotide ribosomal RNA is filed under the name Triticum aestivum (bread wheat). RNAcentral describes it as "partial small subunit ribosomal RNA". Lineage: Eukaryota; Viridiplantae; Streptophyta; Magnoliopsida; Poales; Poaceae. The record is from RNAcentral.